CCGCUCGAUCAUCUCCGGCUCCGACUCCAGCGCGUCGAAUACCGCGGCGCCCACCAGCAGGUUAACACCAGGCACUGGCGACUGGCUGAGGCCACCUGCCCCAUCUUGAUUAUCUAUGGCUCUGGUCCUGCCCCAGCAUGACAGGCAGGACUUGGGCUGGGCGGCAUAGAAAACACAGGAUCCCACCUCAAGGCACAGAGGAGCAGAUCUUCUGCAUCCUCACACUUGAAGCAGGGACAGAGGAUGGACUCAGCCAUUACUGUGAUCUCAGGCAGAAGACAACAUCCACAAUUUGAUGACACCUGGGUCCCAGAUUCAUCAAGAAAGUAGAAUUAAGUUCAAGUAUGAAGAAGCCAUGGGGAAGGGUUCUGGAAGUGAAGGAAACACGCGAUACCAGUUACAUACAAGCAUCUGCUUAGUGCUCCUGACCAUACAGGACGGGGACCACUCCUGCUCUGUAAAGGAAGACGCAGAGGCUCCUCCAGGAGCAACUUCUUAGUUCUUACGGGGAGCUGGGAUUCAAUCCUCGAUCAGGCUGGCCCUAACUUUUCCUUCUCGGCCAUGCUCCCUCACUAAAAAAUGACUGAGGGCAGAGCCAGGCAACAACGGGGGAAUCAGAACAGAAGGCGCUGCUAAGGCUGGGCUGGCGUACAGCUAGAGCUCAGGGAAACGCUGUCACAUGGAUGAAUGAGGAGCUCUGAACGGAAGGAGCCGGGCAGGUUCGGGGACUUGGCAUCUGGAUUUGCCAUGGAUGGACAGAUGCUCCACUUCAGGUAGGAAGCGGGUCCAAGGUCUAGUGACGCUGGCUCACAAGGUAGCUUGGAGAGAAGACUAUCAGGGAACAGCUCUCGACCCAUUGAAAGUGGAGAUGAGGAAGGGGGGGUAGAGCUAUCCUGGCACAGUGCUCGGGCACGCGGCCCAGGCAGGGACUCAGAAGGUCUCCAUGUCUGUACAGAAGCCAAAGGAUAUUGUUGGGGCUUUGAGCUGGUGCCUGGAGGAAGACUGGUGCACCCAGGGCCCUCCAUGACCUGAAGGGGACCGGCCCAUCCCACCCAUUUGGACCAAGGCUACCUUGAAGAGGGAGGCACAAGGUGGGGGUGGGGGAAGACCCGGACCAUGAGUUGCGUAGAUCUCUGCUUGUCCAGAGAUGGUGUGGUCCAGUGAGCUGUGGAAACCACAGCGUGUCAGGGAGAUGGAGGUCAGCUGGGAGGCAGCGCUCAGGCAGAAGGGCACAACACCUUCAGGGAGAUGGAAAAAGUGAUGUCGUUAAGGAACAAUGUGAGCCAAAGGAAUGAGCUGUAACUGGCUGGCUCUGAAAGGACAAGUGGGAGAACGGCUGCCAGACGCCCAUGGGUGUCUGAUGAUGGCCUGCCACUACCCUUGGGAAGGGGCUGAGCCUCAGCCCCAAGGCCCUCUACCCCUUGGUCUGUUAAUCGAUGCAUGAUAAAUCGAGUCUCAGCAGACCUGUCCAGAGUGCACGGCCCUGAUUCUCCAGAGAAGAUCCAAUUGCGCAGCAGGAGGCUAAAGGGUAUGAGUUCUUGGUUCUGCAGGGUGGUCUGAGUCCUCCCUCUACCCAGCAUCCAAGAGGGGAAUUCUUCCACGGAGAAUGAGACAAGGAAGCCACUGACUUCAGGCCUCUGUUCCCUCCUUUGAUAAGAGCUGUGAAAGACCAAGCCAACCCUCCAGCUCAAAAGCCAGCCCGAGGCUGAGGAGAUCUGUCUGAGAGAGGACACUGGGAGUGGUGGGUUGUGGGAGGCCUGAGCAGGAGACUCAUAGUGCUGAGAAGUUUAGAACCUCUUAUGAGUGGUGAAGGGAAGGUGUGGGGUGGAGCCUGAGCUGACCCAAAGUCUUCCCUAACAAAUGGCGAGCAAACAGAGGCCUAAGAGCGGGCCAGGUUAAAAUGACCCUAGCACGCGGAUUUCACUGAGCUCAGCUCCCACUUUUGUUUCUUCAUAAUAGAAAUCUUUGCACAGCAGAGAAAAGGGGGCUCCCAUGAUGGUCAGAGUGCCCAGUUAGAGCAGAAACCUGCCUGGACUUUGGAAGUCUGGAGAAGCCAGAACACGCUUGUUCGUUGGAGUCUGUUUCUGGGACCAUGAUUACCAUGGAUUGGGGCCCCUGUGAAGUGCAACAUCUUCAUGGAGGGGGUUCUCACCUGGUAUGUGGGGACAAAGGAGUUUGUAGGUUUGAGGGAGUGGGGCUGUAAAAGGUAGCUGAACUCCAAUGGCUCAACUGGGGGAGACAAAUGGCCACCCAAGGUGUCUGUCCAUCUGCCCAUGGGACUGACAGAAGUGUGCAGACUUCCUUCUUCACAGGAGAAAGAUGACUUACUCAGACAGUAGAUGGAAUGGCCGUGCCUUGUCAUAGUCCCUAUAAUACUCUGUGGUCUCUCUCCCCUCUGCACACCUGGAGGUCCCAACAGAAAGUUGUGGUUGUCCCUCAGCUGCCAGGACAGGCCUCUCUAAUUGUUCCCCUUAUCAAUCCUGUCUUGCCACCAGGGUCUGAGCCCUUUGUCGCUUGAGCCAGGCCAGUUAUCUUUCCAACAGGAGGGAGAAGGACAGAAAGGGACACUUCUGGACAAAAUCGGAGACAGAGCAGGGAACUGAGGCAUGGAACUGGCCUGAGCCAUCCCCGUUCUCAGGUCUGCAAUGCUGGGCUCUAAAGCUGCAGGGGAAGGCAGCAGGCCGAGAAUCACUGCUCUGUUUCUUAAGCUCCCAGCUGGAACUAGGAACACCAAAUCCUCUUUGAAUAAAACAGAAAAGGGAUUAAUAAAAAUCAAGACAUUAACCUCGUGAAACCGGACCCCCUCAUUCCCACAUAGAGAUUAACUUCUUCCCCCAAGCUUUUUUUUUUUUUUCAUUUCUAUAAACAUCUUAAUUCAUGUGGACAUCACAGCCAGCCUGGAUUACAGUUGGAUGGAGAGGUGAAUGAACUUGUCUGAGACACACACACAGACACACCUGGAGCAGGGGAAAGGACAGUGAAGGAGAUGCUGAAGAGCCAGGGUUUAUUUCCAGAGUUCACUUUCCUCAUCUAUAAAUGGAGUAGUUAGCUUAUACUUCCAUUUUGUUCCCUCUGGGAACUCUGAUGGUCCAUUUCCCCAAAGUACUCUCUGCUGCAGAAAAGUCCACUCUCACCCAUACCCGUGGUGGCACACCAUGUCAACAAAGGUUCACUUCAUCCCAAGUCUCCUUUCUAGACCACAGGUUCCAGAAAGAUGGGGACAAGCUGCCAGGGACAACAGGUGCUCCACAGGUAUUGGUGAGUAAAUGGACAGAUAGUUCUGGAAAUUGCUCUGUGAGUACACCUGGAAUGGGGUUCAGGGUGUUGCUUGAAAUAGAGUCACUCUCCUCUUGAGGUGAGGAACACCUGGCCUUUCUGGAAUGUUCUCCCUAUUCCCUCCUGACUUCCGAGAGAUUCUCAAAGCCUCAUUUCUUUUGAAACCUUCCUUCGCCUUGCCAGCAGCGUCACCCCAAUCAAGCAACAGAUUUUCGAUGCACGUUUUCGGUUCUUCCUCCCACCUUCAUCUGACAAGUCCAAUCAUUCCCAUCCCUUGAUUAUGUUUUGGUUGGAGGCUGCAGCCAGCUGCAGUUAUUCUCAACUCUGGGUGGCAGUGAAGAGGAGGGUCAUUAUGGGGGAGUCUUGCCUCAGUGGAGAGCAAGAGACAGGCGCUGGGUUCCUCCACGGUUCGGGGGCUGGGAUAGAGGUGGAACUCUUACAGGGGGCGAGCUCUGGUUGGGUCAAAGGUCAGGGAACUCCCACUUGACUUUCAGUUUGGUCAGCAGGCCUCAAAGUACGCUCAGAGACCAGCGUCCCCUGAGGGGUUCUGUGGAAGAGAGAAGCCCAGGCUCAGUUAUGUUUGGGGAGCUCAGCUGUUCUCAGCCUUUGAUUGCAAGCUGCAGAAGUCAACUCUCCUAAUUUAAGCUCAGAAAUGAUUUAUUCCGAAGACCUUAGAUAGUUCAAAGUACCUUCUGUAGGAUCAGGAAGCCAAGGUCAGAAGGGAAGCAGCCAGAAGCAACACUCAAGGUCACAUGGUAGGACUGAUCCCAGGAAGGCUCCAUUGCCCUACAGACACUUUUGCUUGGGCCACCAGCUCCGUCAGCACCAGUACGGCCUCUGUACCCAUCACUACCGCCACCACUUCUGAAGAUAGGCUGCCAUGGCUUCCACUUUUGUGUAACACUUUCUGCAGGGGCCCUCCUUUUUCUGCACUUGGUUCUUCUGGGGGAAGGCAACUUACUGGUGGAGUGAAGUCAUGGACCUGCCCCCUACAUUCAAGAGAAGCUGGGGCAAUGAACUGAUCUUUCCAGCUCCUGUACCUGAAGGCCAUCCCUGCCUCCAAACAUGGGAGACAUCUUCAAGCAUGAGUGUGGUGGUUUGGAUGAGAAUGACCCACAUGGGCUCAUAUGCUUGAAGAGUUGGUCCCCAGUUGGUCAAACUGUUUGGGAGGGAUCGGGAGGUUUGACCUGGUUGGAAGAGGUGUGUCACUAGGGUCGGGUUUCAAAAGCCAUGUGCGAUACCAGUUGAGCUUUGUGUUUCCUGUGUGCGAGCUGAGACUGAGCCGCUGCUCUGGCUGUCUGCUUUCUUGCUGCCGCAGCUCUGCCAUCUCGGACUCUAACCCUCUGGAACUGUAAA
This is a long non-coding RNA of Microtus ochrogaster (prairie vole), 4632 nucleotides long. RefSeq lists it as uncharacterized. The record is from RefSeq and is a predicted model, not a curated record. NCBI's taxonomy places the organism in Eukaryota, Metazoa, Chordata, Mammalia, Rodentia, Cricetidae.